RNAcentral lists this ribosomal RNA (496 nucleotides) under uncultured bacterium. Its description in RNAcentral is "partial 16S ribosomal RNA". It matches the Rfam family "Bacterial small subunit ribosomal RNA", at positions 29 to 507 of the family's 1533-position model. The record is from RNAcentral.
AUGCACGCUGGCGGCGUGCCUAAUACCUGCCAGUCGAGCGCACAGACGAGGAGCUUGCUCCUCUGACGUUAGCGGCGGACGGGUGAGUAACACGUGGAUAACCUACCUAUAAGACUGGGAUAACUUCGGGAAACCGGAGCUAAUACCGGAUAAUAUAUUGAACCGCAUGGUUCAAUAGUGAAAGACGGUUUUGCUGUCACUUAUAGAUGGAUCCGCGCCGCAUUAGCUAGUUGGUAAGGUAACGGCUUACCAAGGCAACGAUGCGUAGCCGACCUGAGAGGGUGAUCGGCCACUCUGGAACUGAGACACGGUCCAGACUCCUACGGGAGGCAGCAGUAGGGAAUCUUCCGCAAUGGGCGAAAGCCUGACGGAGCAACGCCGCGUGAGUGAUGAAGGUCUUCGGAUCGUAAAACUCUGUUAUUAGGGAAGAACAAAUGUGUAAGUAACUAUGCACGUCUUGACGGUACCUAAUCAGAAAGCCACGGCUAACUACGUG